RNAcentral lists this ribosomal RNA (765 nucleotides) under uncultured Streptococcus sp. Its description in RNAcentral is "bacterial SSU rRNA". It matches the Rfam family "Bacterial small subunit ribosomal RNA", at positions 28 to 776 of the family's 1533-position model. Lineage: Bacteria; Bacillati; Bacillota; Bacilli; Lactobacillales; Streptococcaceae. The record is from RNAcentral.
GACGAACGCUGGCGGCGUGCCUAAUACAUGCAAGUAGAACGCUGAAGGAAGGAGCUUGCUCUUUCCGGAUGAGUUGCGAACGGGUGAGUAACGCGUAGGUAACCUGCCUGGUAGCGGGGGAUAACUAUUGGAAACGAUAGCUAAUACCGCAUAACAGUAGAUAUCGCAUGAUAGCUGCUUGAAAGGUGCAAAUGCACCACUACCAGAUGGACCUGCGUUGUAUUAGCUAGUUGGUGAGGUAACGGCUCACCUAGGCGACGAUACAUAGCCGACCUGAGAGGGUGAUCGGCCACACUGGGACUGAGACACGGCCCAGACUCCUACGGGAGGCAGCAGUAGGGAAUCUUCGGCAAUGGGGGCAACCCUGACCGAGCAACGCCGCGUGAGUGAAGAAGGUUUUCGGAUCGUAAAGCUCUGUUGUAAGUCAAGAACGAGUGUGAGAGUGGAAAGUUCACACUGUGACGGUAGCUUACCAGAAAGGGACGGCUAACUACGUGCCAGCAGCCGCGGUAAUACGUAGGUCCCGAGCGUUGUCCGGAUUUAUUGGGCGUAAAGCGAGCGCAGGCGGUUUGAUAAGUCUGAAGUUAAAGGCUGUGGCUCAACCAUAGUUCGCUUUGGAAACUGUCAAACUUGAGUGCAGAAGGGGAGAGUGGAAUUCCAUGUGUAGCGGUGAAAUGCGUAGAUAUAUGGAGGAACACCAGUGGCGAAGGCGACUCUCUGGUCUGUAACUGACGCUGAGGCUCGAAAGCGUGGGUAGCAAACAGG